GACGAACGCUGGCGGUGUGCUUAACACAUGCAAGUCGAACGGAAAGGCCCUGCUUUUGUGGGGUGCUCGAGUGGCGAACGGGUGAGUAACACGUGAGUAACCUGCCCUUGACUUUGGGAUAACUUCAGGAAACUGGGGCUAAUACCGGAUAGGAGCUCCUGCUGCAUGGUGGGGGUUGGAAAGUUUCGGCGGUUGGGGAUGGACUCGCGGCUUAUCAGCUUGUUGGUGGGGUAGUGGCUUACCAAGGCUUUGACGGGUAGCCGGCCUGAGAGGGUGACCGGCCACAUUGGGACUGAGAUACGGCCCAGACUCCUACGGGAGGCAGCAGUGGGGAAUAUUGCACAAUGGGCGGAAGCCUGAUGCAGCAACGCCGCGUGCGGGAUGACGGCCUUCGGGUUGUAAACCGCUUUCGCCUGUGACGAAGCGUGAGUGACGGUAAUGGGUAAAGAAGCACCGACUAACUACGUG
This 468-nucleotide ribosomal RNA is filed under the name uncultured bacterium. RNAcentral describes it as "partial 16S ribosomal RNA". It matches the Rfam family "Bacterial small subunit ribosomal RNA", at positions 28 to 507 of the family's 1533-position model. The record is from RNAcentral.